Molecule: long non-coding RNA, 2154 nt
Filed under: Ananas comosus (pineapple)
Lineage: Eukaryota; Viridiplantae; Streptophyta; Magnoliopsida; Poales; Bromeliaceae
Description: long non-coding RNA (ACOM_LNC010033)
Source: RNAcentral
CCUCGUUGUGUGUACCUAGUACAUAGGUGCAUGUGAGAGAGAAAAAAAGAGAGUAGUCAUUUAGGUUAAUAAAAGACGAGAGAAUGGUGAAAGAGAUUUAGAAAAAGGGCUCGGGUUUGAAGCUACUCUGUUGCAGAAGAGAAGUCAGGUGUAAUAUUCUUUUAGUUAAUAAAACUUAUUUCACCCGCAUAUUUUUUUUAUUUGUUUUUCUCUCUUUUGUUCAUAUAUCAGCUUUUACUGAAAAGACGGGUUUAUGGUAAAAACUUGAUUUGACGUAUUCGUUGCGAAAUCUCAACAAUCAGUACCGGAUUAACAGUAGUCGAUAUCAGAGCGGGUUGUGGAUUCUCAAAAUCUGGUAUCAGAGUGAGUACCAUAUUUCCAACAAUUGGUAUCAGAGAUUAAGGUUACCGAUCUGUGGGAGAGAUCAAUAGAGAUGGCCACGAAAUUCAAAAUCGAGAAGUUUGAUGGCAAGAACAAUUUGGCAUUAUGGCAGAUUAAAGUACAAGUGAUCCUCGUACAAGAAGAGUUGGACGAGACGUCAAACGAAAAGGAGGCGAACCCAACAGAAGUCAAGGAUGUGGCAUGGGAGAAGAUGGAGCGGAAGGCAUUAAGCAUGCUUCAUCUAUUAUUAGCAGAUGAGAUUCUAUACAAUGUAGCGAGCGAGGCAACACCGGCAAAAUUGUGGAAAGAUCCGUACAUAAUGAAGUCUUUGACGUACAUAAUGAUGUCUUUGACAAACAGGUUGUAUCUGAAGUAGUGACUGUUUACCCUACAGAUGCAGAAAACGGCAAGCCUAUAUGAGCAUCUGAGCGAGUUCAACAAGGUAGUAGUGCAGUUGACCAGCAUCGGAAUCAAUCUGGAUGGCAAAAAUAAGGCAUUGAUUUUAUUAUCUUCGCUAUCGAUAGUAUAUGAGCAUCUGGUGACUACAUUGCUUUAUGGCAAGGAGACCAUAAGCGUGGGGGUGGUCACAACGGCGCUUCUCUCGAACGAGAUGCGGAAGAUGACUCAGAAGUCCGGCAUGCAGAGCUGUGAUAUAGCGCUGGUGGUGAGAACGAAGAAAAAGANAAACUCAGUUGUUUAGCUUUGUAUAUUGAGCAGCUCUAUGCUACUGUUUGUAGUAUUGUAUAUUUACAGGUACUUUUGACGCUUCGUAUACAGGGGAAAUUCCUUGUAUACGGCGGAUUUGUCGGCGUGCCCGGGGAACGAGACAUCCGGGGCGUGACAGAUGGGGUCGUGAGGACGAUGACAGGUGUGCAGCACGUUCCUAGUUUGAAGCGGAAUUUGAUCUUGUUAAGCGCAUUGGAAUCGAAGGGUUGCGAUUUUUCGACUUCAAGUGGACCUAUGAGGGUUCGAAAGUGAGAUUGGGUUGUGUGCGAGGCGAACAAGCAUAUUAUAUGUUCUGAAUGGGAGUACAGUCUGUUACACCCCAAUAAUCUCACAUCGGAUGUGAUUGGGUAUAUAAGAGACUUAGACACUAGUAAUAAUAACUGGGCUAAGCAUUUUGGGUCGGUGGUUGGACCCAACGAGUUAUUAUUGUUAGUGGGCUGGGUCGUUACACAGUCAGAAUGAGAGCAAAACGAAUUUGGAUUCCAAAAUUUCAUGGAGGUGCAGUCACUCGAGGCGGAGCUGCUGAGGAGACAAGUCCAAGGUGGAGUGUGCAUGGUGAGCUCGAUGCAGCCGUUGAUGGUUACAAAUCCAACCAAGGUGAAGAUUGUUAGGAUUUGGUUAGAUUUUUAGUUGAUUUUCUAGUUGGAUAAGAAUUAAUAUUUAAAUCUAUUGGAGAUAAAUUAAGAUUUAAAUAUUAAUUAGAGUAUAGAUCUAACUAGAUUAGGAUAAAUAUUUAAAUCUAUUGGAGAUAACCUACAUAUAGAUUUAAAUAUUAUUUAGACUAGGAUUCCUAAUUAUCCUAGGAUUUGGGUACAUCUUGGGUGGAGCUUAUAUGUAGGGUUAUGUAUGCAAAUUGUUGAAAGAGCCUAGGUGGUGUACAAGUAAGAGAGAGCCUUUUAUGAUGGUGACCGUACCGUGGAGAAGCCUAGGCCCCAUUGUGUGCACCUAGUGUAUGGGUGCGUGUGAGAGAGAAAACGAGAGAGUAGUCGGUAUCAGAGUGGAAUCCCAACAAUUGGUAUCGGAUCAACAACAGUAGGUAUCAGAAUG